UGUUCCAGUGGGAUGUCAAAAUACAUGUCUCUGGAUGCUUGAAGGAUUGGGGAAGAAACAGGAAUAAAACAUUAAAUAUAAUUUACUAUUAAAUCAGGCAAUCAUUAGUUACUAGACUUUGUCAACACAAUUUUGUACCUUUUCAGUUAUAUAUGUCUAACCUGUGGGUUGAAUGUGGAGAUGAAACACAGAAAGCAGGGAACCUACAUUAGUGCACAUGACACUAUUUUAGUCUGGACCCAGGAUUUAAUAUCUGCUCUCCUAACUUCCUACUCAGGUUCAUACUUAGGGGGAGAGUUACAAAAUUACCAAUAUGUUGACUGCAAAUAUUUUUCAAACAGAAUUUGGCCUGGAAAAUAGAAAUUUAUUGACUUAUUUUAAUUCCAUAAAAUCUCCUCCCUGAAAUAUAAGACAUCAGAAAAAUAUAUAACUUUAAAAAAUGAAAACAAUCUUCUUAGAUGAAAUAGAUGAUAGAUAGAUAGGUGAUUAUACAGAGAUGAGAAAGAAAUGGAGUACGUGUGAACACAAUUCAAUAGCCCCUUUAGUGAAAAAAAUUUCCACAGGUUGCCACUGUAAUACAGCAUAUCAAUAUUCUUUCCUGAUGAAACAAGCUGGGGAUACAGAGUUAAGCCUCUAUUAGGAAACAGAGAGGCUCAACAGAUCCAUUAUGGAUUUUAUUUUCCAGCUUGAUUAUCCUGAGCUCUUGGGAGUGCUACCAUGACCAGCGCUGCAUGAAUGAAGUUCUUGUCCUUCCCUUUUAACAAUCUGGACACAUUCUGACUUCUAGAUUGUUUCAUAGACUAUUUUACAGUCCCACUUUGCAUUUUAAAUGGAAAAAUCCCUGGGUAAUUAUGCAUCUCUCUCCUUAAGACAUGUGAAUAACCACUUCAAGGACUUUGUUCUCUCUAACUUUUAGUGGGAUGGAAACUAUGUCCUUAUUUUCUUUUGAAAAGAUGCCAGCAUAUUGAGCAGGAUGGAAACAACAAACAUACUGGAUUUAACAAUACAGUAAGAACAUGAGGCCAACCGGGAACCAUGUGAGAGAGCUUAAGGCAGAUUCUCUGAAGCCACACCAGGAUUCCUGACCACAAAGUCUCUGACAUGAGAAAUGCUGUUGAUGAACCUCAGGGUGAUUUCAUCCCAUUCCUCAGGCAACAGCAUCAGCAGAAACCCAAUGCAGAUGAUGAUGGUAGCAGCCAGGCGGACAACAUUGAAUAUCACCUCCUGCUUUAGGAGAUCCACAGCUAGGAAAGAAAAAUCAAGUCAGUCAUUUCCUAUGCCUGUUUCUAAGCUUUGAAAACAAGUCACCAAAGUCCAUGUUACUUCUAGAGAUUUCCAAGAGUCUUCUUUAUUCUUCCAAGUUAGUGUUUCCUUUUUCCACAUUGCUAGGUUUGCUUUCCACUGCCUGUCUCUAAGUCAUGCUUAUCCUUCAAGGCUUAGCUUAAAUUCCAUGUAAUCUGACUUAGUUAUCUCCCCAGUUUUCUCUCAGUACUUUUCCUCUUUACCCCUUUAACCUUCUCCAGUUUCAUUGGACCAUUGGAGAUUUUUCAAAUGAGCCAAACAUGUUAGUGUCUAACACUUGUGCAGGCUGUUCUUUUUAAAAAUUUAAUUGAGGUGAAAUUCAUGUAAUAUAAAAUUAACCAUUUUAAAGUGGACUUAGUGGCACUUAGUAUAUUCACAAUAUUAUGCAGCCACCACCUCUCUCUGGUCCCCAGAUAUCUCCAUCACUUCAAAAUAAAAGCCCAUACCCAUUAACUCCUCAGCUUCUUAUCCCAAAUCCCCAGCCCUUAGCAACCACCAAUCUGCUUUUUUCCCCCUAUAGAUUUGCCUAUUCUAGUUAUUUUAUAUAAAUGGAGUCACAUUCUCUGUGUUCUUUCGUGACUGGCUUCUUAGCAAAAUAUUUUUGAGGUCCAUCCAUGUUGUAGCACGUGUCAGCACCUCAUUCCUUCUUAUGGCUGAAUAAUAUUUCACUGCAUCAUAAUUUGGUUAUUCAUUCAACUCCUGAUUCACAUUUAGGCUUCUCUACCUUUUUGCUAUUGUGAAUAGGGCUACUAUAAACAUUUGCGUAUGAGGAUAUUUUUAAUCUCUGUUUUCACUUUUUUGGGGUAUACACUCAGGAGUGGAGUUGUUGGUCACACAUGUACUGUUCUUUUUAGCAUGAGCUACCCUUCACUCCUCAUAUCUCACUUCAUCCAGCUAAACCUCUCCUUAGAUCUCUCCCCUUAGGCUUCUUGCAGGAAGCCUUUUGGAUGCUCCUCCUAUGCGCCCUCGCAGCAUUCAGCACAUACCUCUAUUAAAGCAAUUCUAUGUUGUAAUUACUCAAUUUUUUUUCCUUUUGUCUCCCUCUCAAUGCUACAUGGUCCUGAGGGCAGGGACUGUGCCUUAUUCAGGACCUGUCACUAGUGUUAGGACAGUUCCUGGUGUACACUAAUUGCUCAGAAAUUCUUUGUUGGAUGAAUGAACGAAACUCCUUGACAACUCCACUCUGAUAUUUCUUUUCUCUGAAUAUCUUACAGCCACUGGAGUCUGUCUCACACAAUUUGGCAUUUAAUAUUAAAUUAUUCUGUAGAGUUCCAAGUUGUUUCAUGUAGGUUGGCCUUCUUUUACAAAUUCAGCCAUAAGCAUUUUAAGAGAAUAAUAAUGUAUUUUUUUCUUUUUUGCUGCCCUGAUCACAUGAUAAAUAUUCAAUAAACAUUUGCUGAUUGUCGUGGAGGACAGAAAAGUGGCUACUCAAGACUUGAAAUUAUAAAAUUUUAAAGUUAAAAGGACUGUACAAUCAUCCAGAUAAUCCAUUUGCAUUACUUGUUUCACUGGCAGGUUUCUCUAGAAAUAUCCUGGAAAAAUAGCUUCUCUUGUCCCUGAGAGACAGCCCCAUGGCAGAGCAGCAAAAGAGGACCAGUGCUCCACCUUGGUGAAAUACAAGAUGACUGGGGUGAAGGAGAUGAAGAUCAAAUUGAAGAAACCCAAGGUGGAGACAAAGUGUGCAGCUUCCCCAAAGUUGGCACUUCCAAGAAACAUUUUAAACAAGACCUGGAAUGAGAAAGAAACUCUACAGCCACACAGAAACUUAGCCAGAGCAGAAACGUAAGUCUUACUGUUCCAUACUGUGAGCUAACUGGCCCAGAGUUUAUUCUCCAUUUCUUCUUGCCCUGACAUCUUCACAGCACUAGAUGGGCUGUUGAGAUAAGGAAUUAAAAUACUCCAUAGCCUUCAUAUGAAAUAGCAAAUGUCAUAAAAUGAAUUUCUUAUGGUGCUGAAAACUGCUGGGUAGUGUACAUUGUGUUUAGUGCCACCAUCAGUGAUGGGUAUUGGGUGAAUGAUAAAUAAGAGUCCAGACAAGCCCAGAAAAAUCUUCUAGGAUUGACUGGCCAUUAAUCCUUAACUUAAAGCAUGGGAUUUGUUUUAUCCUUAUUUUGAUAGAUACUGAAAACUAAAUUGGACAGAGAGACCCUGUCAUUAUGUUGUUGAGAGAAAUAGUAUUUUUGCCUUGGAUUUAUAAGCAGUUUUCUUUGUGAGCUCAAAAUGACUUCACAAAUAUGGUGCUUGUUCCCCAGAUUAAAAAGCAGUUUUUAUAUAUUAUAAACCUGUGUGCAGAGGAAGAUGGCAAGGAGAAGCAAAUGGCUAACAUAAAAUCACACAACAGAUUACAGAGAAAGCCAGGGGUAUAGUCCAUAUUUCUUAGCUUCUUAAGCCCACCACUCCCUAUACUAAUCCUGUAACAACACAGAGUGAAGCAGAUCUCUUCUGCCUGGAAUUAUAUUAUGCUGCAGAUAUGAUUUGGUGCAUGUCAGAAUGAAUACAUUCUGUAACCUGGUCAGGGGAAAUCCCUCUGUAAGAGUGCCAUUCUGGUCAUAUAGCAAUCCCAGGUACUGCUUCUAAUUUCAACUGAACUAAUUUUUUUUUUCUGUUGAAAGACUUAAUCAAAAGAAUUUGAGCACGUGGUAGUCUUUGGUCACAUCAGACAUCUUGGUGGAUCUCAGUUGGGGAGCAAGUUAGACAGUAAUGGCCAUUGAGUGAACAUUUGUCAAGCUUGUCACACAGAAUCAAUGGGCCAAGAAAUGUCAAUAUGGAAAUAGACUUCAUGCCCUCUGAGACACAGUGUUGGUUAAUAAUCAGAACAGGCUUCCAGGAGGGACGAAAAGGGUAUUUUCGGCCUUUCAGAGUGUGUUUUCUCAUUGAAACACCAAGAGAGGUGAAAUUGGAACAGUUCUUUAAUACAUCCAGAAAGUUGACUUUAAAAGUAGAGCUUUGGGGAAUAACUUUUUAGAUCUGCUCUCUUAGUGCUCACUUCUGAAGUCAGGUGCAAUGACUCCGAAUAGAAUUUUCUUUGAUGACAGGGAACUCCAGUGGAGAAAAAAAUGGUGGGUACCUACAGCAGACGUAGAGCAUCCAUCAGAGAGAAAAAGAGCUUCUUCAUUUUGCUAGUAACACGAGCUCCUGUGGCAUGGGGUUAAUAUGUGCCAAACAGCUCUCUAGUGACAGCUUAUUUCUAACACCUCUUUUGAGUUAAAAUAAUGACCAUAGAUAAUUAAAUUAAAAAACACAGGGAGAGAAGAUGCCUUUCUAAUGUUCCUGCUAUAACUGCCUGAUAAAUGAGGGAUUAGGGCAUAGCACAUGGGCUUAGAAGUUGGCUAGUCCAGAGUUUAAGUCUUGGCUCUAUCACUAUUUGGCUCUAUGAUUUGGGGCAAGUUAUGUAAUCUUUCAAAGCCUCAGUUUCCUCAUCUGGAAAGUGGAAAUAAGUAUUUAUGCCUCAUAAGGUUGUAUUAACACAGGCAAAAAUUUUCAGGCAGGUACCCAUCACAUAACAAGUAGUUAAUUUACUUACUAUUAUUUCAACACAUCUAUUUUCUUUCUAAUCAAUGAUUACAUCGUACUUUCUUACUUUAGUACUCAAGUCUAAGUUAUGAGUGACAGUUGCUUACAAAAGAAAGUGCACAACAUACCUUAUAUAAUGCAGAUGUAGAGGCUGAGCCCACCGCAAAUGCCACUCCUAUGAUGGAAUCAGCGUGGAAAUUAUCUGCAUAUGCCAUCAUGACAAUGCCGGUAAUUGCCAUUAUUGCAGCAACUAUCUGUCAAAUAGGAUGCAAAGAAACAGAAAAGCAAUGAUCCCUCUGUAUCCUAGAGCAGGCAAUUCAAGACUUCCUGAAAGCUGCUAAGUACUUCCUUAAACCUAAUUACCUUUUGUACAUCACUUUAAAUGUAGGAAGGCUCAGUAUUAGAAAUAAAUCAAUAUGUUCAUGAGAUAUCCAGGCACAGAAUAUAAAAGCUGUUCACAUUCUAAUUAAAGACUAGUAAUUUUAUUAUUUUUAAUAUAUUUUUACUUUUUUAGGCCUAAUAAUUUUAAUUUUUUAGCUCAAGCUUUCUAGGGACUAACAUUUGUACUGGUGAAAUAAAUUUAAUAGGAAGUCACUUCUAAGCGUUUUCAUCUCUUCUGUAUUUCAUCUAUUCUUUUUCCUCCAAUUCAGCAUACAUUUUAAUCAGCUCCUUGGCUCAAGGUAUGUUUCUGAAGAUCUCCAUCUAAUCAGGACCUGAUUAGAGAAGCAUGAUAUUGAUACAGCUAAGAGGCAAACUUCAGGCCAAUGGGAAAAAAGAAAGAAAAUAAAUUCUCAUAGAGAUGUAUAAAGGAGCAAGCUGAGUCUGCACUGUCACUUGGAAUGUCAAAUGGAAGCCAGUACUUCCUUUUGUUCACAUGAAAAUUAAUUCAGUUUUUCAGAAAAACCACUGAAAGAUAAUUUCAUUUAAUUACUCUAGAGCAUUAACUGCAUAAAGUGAAAUAUUCAUAAUUCAACUGAAGUCAUCAUUGUUCACUGUAAAUUGAUGAUUCUAGCUAUAUUCAAAACAGGAGUCUACUCCCUUAGUGAAUUGCUGCUUUGUGUCAUCUCUUUAUCUUGAACUAGUUCUACUGGAAAGCAGUUCAGAGCUAUAGCAAACAGUAAAAUGAUGCUGGAACAGGUGACAAUAUGUCAUUUCCUUGUGAAAUGGUUUCACUGACUUUAAAAUCCAGAUGAAAAUUGGUGAGAAAUUUAAACCUACAUGGUGAUUAAUUUUGUUAAGCUUCAGUUCUGAGUAUUCCCAAGUAAAGAAAUUCUUCAGUUCUGAGUAUUCCCAGUAAAGAAAUUCCCAAGUAAAGAUAGCUUUUUAACAUAUGUGAUUUUCGGGGGCCCUUUUGAACACUAUUAGUGAAUUGUUUUUUAUAACGUAGAUUUUUAACAUGUAAUUACUGACUCGCUUGAGGCCACUGCAAAGUAUGUUCCCAAUUACAUAGAAUUCAGACGCUGCUAAAGCAUGUCUUUUGUUAGUGGCCACCAAAAGCAAGGGCCCACUUGGUUUCAGAGUAGCUCCAUAUUAAAGUGUCCUUAAUGAAAAACAGCAGGAGUACUUGAGAAUAGACAUAGACAUGUCAGCAGUGAAAAACCAUCUUCAUUAAACAUUAUCCAGGAGGCUGCUUGAUGGGAGGUGGUUUUCUUGCUGAGUGAAUAUCAUAUUCUCUGAAGCUGCCGGGUGUGUGUUCUGGUUAGACUUGGCCUUAAACUAUAAGGAAUAGAAUUUAAGAAUUUAGGUGUCAAGGAGAUUUCUAAAUAAUAAGUAAUAGACUCAUCAAUAAACACAGUGAGGGGGUUAUCUAGACCUGGAUAAAGGUCUAGACUCAUCAAUACACACAGUGAGGGGGUUAUCUAGACCUGGAAAUUCUAUGAGGGUUAUCAUUUUCCUUGAUUUGGGGAUUUGCAACAGUUCUUUGGGGGAUCUGAUUUCAGGGAAAUAAAAAAGGCACAUUAGAUAUUGGCAUAUCCUGAUUUGGUUUUGUGUUUAAAUGAUGUUCACUGGUUAGUGUUCAUGUGCACAAAUAGAUUUCCUUCAUAAGACUGAACUGACGGGAUAAUACAUUUGAGUUAACGUUUGUUUUCUUUUAGCUAAGCAUUGCAUUUUCUAGGUCAAAUAAACAAGCGGUUACUUGAAGCCAAGGCUAACAAAACUGUAAAUCCUAACGAACUUUCACAUGAUGUGCUAUUUUAUAUUUUAAAUUAUUAAAAGCAUUCUAUAAUACAUAAUACAUGGGUUUAGGCAAUUACACACUGUAGUAUGUAAUUCUGGGUUUAGAAAAUUGUGAAAACCAAUUAAAAAACCCCAAAGCACAAAACAAAAUCCUGUCUAGAAAAGGACAGGCAGUUGGUUUCAUUAUCCCCAAGAUAUGACCACAGGUAGGAACUCUUCCUUUUCUGAGUUAGCUACUAGUAAAAAUAGAUAUGCAUAAAGUUUCUAUUAUGUUUCCUCAAGAUAGGAAUUGAACAUGGGUAAAGAUUACAUAACUCUGUAGCAAUUCAAAAUUAUAACCAUAGUGAGCCUCUUAAAGAUCUUCAUUACUCGUUAUAUUCAAGUGCUUGUGAAAAUAUUAGCCUGGACCACUUAAAUUGACAUGUCAAUUACAGCAGUGUCUCUUUCAAUUGCCUUCACAGAGAGAAGCAUUUUUCACUUUAGGGGGUCAGACAAUGCUGUUAAGUUCUGAAAGAAUGAAAAUCUGAAUAUUUGAAAUGUUAGAAAAAUUCUCCAUGACAUGAGCAGUAAUUCAUAAGUUAUAUAGUAUGUUCCUGGGGCAGGGUGCGGGUGGAGGGUAUAGUGGGAAUAGAUAAAUUAUUUGCCACAUUUUAGUUUAAAUUUCAAAAAUAUCUGAUAGGUCAAAUUCUCUAUGGCUAUAUUUUAAGAAAUUUUAAAUAUAUUUCUUAUCUAUACUGUUGUAAGUGAAGGAAGAGAUCUCAACUAAUCUUGAAAAUGAGGAAAAAUUGUGGAGUGGUUGUUUGGGUGAUCUCAGAAUGGCUCUGCUUGGCACCACUGGUUUAACUUUAGAGAGUAAAUACUCUUUAGAUGUCUGGAGAACAAAUAUCCUAAGCACGUAUCAGUCACACACAUUUUCAGAAUCAAUCAGUCAUCAAAGAGGGAUUAAUACUCUGUUCUUCUCAACAGAAAAACACAAAACGACUCUUCUUGGCCUCAGCUUUCUGGAAAUGUGUCUGCAGGAAGCCAGUGCCUAAAAUAUUGUGUCAAAAAUGCUCAUAUGUGUUCAUUCACAUGAAGACAACCACUAAAGUGCUCCUGGGACACAUUAACAUCCAUGAGAGGAAUUCUUCUGCUGAAAAUACACCAUCUAGUGGUGCCACCUGCUCGGCUUCUGAAAAAUCUGUCUCUUGACAAUCUAUUCCAGUUCCAGCCUCUUAACCAACCAGAAGUGUCUAAAUAAGAUGGAAAACUAGGCCAGGCACAGUGGCUCACGCCUGUAAUUCCAGCACUUUGGGAGGCCCAGCUAGGUGAGUAUGAAGCAGCUGGUUCACAAAUGAACCCUUGAAUUCCAAAGCCUACAGCAGCCCCUAAAAAUGCAGAUCUCAGACCACACUGCUGGCAGCUGCUGUGCUCAAGUUGAAGACUAAAGGUCAGUAGUUGAGGUUGGGACACACAUUAAUAGUUUGACGAAUGAGAAACAUGCUAAUGAUUAUCUCUCUGGGUAAAUUUAGAUACAGUUGAUUUUCAAGGAACUAUGGCUAUACAGAAUCCUUAAACUUCUGCAUAUGUUAUAUUUAAGGUUCUAUGGAAAACUUUCUUUUUUACUCAGAUUCAAUUAAACUGAACAAGUGCUGAAAUGUGAAAAAUAAGAGGUGUGGCAAUCUAUAGCUGUCCAGAUGCUGUGUGUGACAGGGGGAAGGGGGGUACCUUGGAUAGCAGCAAACCCAAGGGAUGCUGGGCCUCUGAACUCCCCCUCUCCCUACAUGCAUGGAUUUUUAUCUGAAUAAAAUCCAUUUGAAAAUGAUCUCAGAGGGAGACCUGGAUGUCAAAGUUGUAAAGAAAUCCCACGAAGAAAGAGUGAAGGAUAUAUGUGGAGGGUAGACACAUUGACUGCACCAUGUUGAAGGGGUUACAGAUUCCUUGAGGGUGUAAAAUCGGACAGCCAGCACAACCCAGCUGUCUCCUCUCUUGGCUAUAUUCAUAAGUCAUUGUCCUGCCAAGAUAGGGGUAAGAGGGAGGAUGACUCCCACUGUCCAUCCUCCACUGCCUCUUCCAGGAAGCAUGGAAGCUCUGGGCAGAGAAUUCUGCAUUGCACAUGAAUAAAGAGGAGCCAAAGGCAAGAUGGAAACAAAUUGUCAAGUUACGUGUCAUCUUAAUUCUUAAUAUUUAAUAUCAGCAUAAAUCAGUAGCAGCUCAGCUCCAAUGUACUGUUUUAGCCUUCAGGGGCCCAAUUUGAAUUCAAAGAAGUAUAUGCUAUACCAUGAAAGAUUCAGUUUAACUGAUGUACUUCAGUCAGUUUUUGGUAGAUCCUGGAAAGUCUUUGAAAACAGCUAUAGUUUGGGAAGCUAACUAACUGCACAGGGACCCAAAUAUAGCUGGAAAAUAUGUGGCUCCCAAGCCAGAGGGACACUAAUGCAUUUCACAGUCUGCUAAGACAGUUGGGAUCUGCUGAACCAUCCACCAACCACCAACAUUCUCCAUAUCUUCAAGGAAAUUGGAAAAUAUAAGAAAAAUUUGAAUGAAUAGUAUAAAAAAAUAAGAGAGGGACAAAAUCUGAAAGAAAGUUUCUACCAUUCUAGUCUGGCAUCUACUUUUCAUUGGUGUAAAACAGAUACCAACAGCAGAGAAGAAAGCUCCCAGCCAGUGGCACAUUCCCCUUGGGAAGAACCUUUUUUUAAAAAAAAAAAAAUUAAGGUGGGUUCUCUGGUUCUUACGAAUUUAAGAACUCUAGCUAAACAUAAUAAGGUCUGAGAGACAGGAGAACACCUAUUUUCAAGGCUGCAAGAGCUGGAUUAUCACUUUCUAACAUUUUUGCAAUCAAAAAAUUAUCUUUUAAAGAAGUUUACUAAUUUUCAUGGGAUGAUCACAGAUUAGCUGCAAGCAAUUUGCUCAUGAAAGGGCUUUUUAUAACACAUCAUAGAUUACCAAUAAAUGGGCUGAAAUGACUUCAUACUAAAUGUAAAACAGAUUACCUUUCCAUCUGUAAUUCAGUGUUCAAAAGAAACAAAAUAUUAGCAAGUUAUUCAUAAUACAUAAUUCAUUUUUAUGUGAGCAUUAGUAAUUCUGGCCUACUUGUGGUCCGGAUAAACCCAUAUUUAUGAUGUUGUAACUUAAAGUGUCUUUCACUCUGUUCAUGGUGUUCUUUUUACAUUAAAAAAAAAAAUUAGAAGUAGGGAAGGCCAUAGCUUCUCAUUUUAAAUGUGCUCAUUCCUGGGGAGCUAAGCAUAUGAAAAUUAUAAUCCAACAAACAUCUGUUUCUAAACUACUGAUGCUUUAGCAUGAACUA
Molecule: long non-coding RNA, 10279 nt
Organism: Homo sapiens (human)
Lineage: Eukaryota; Metazoa; Chordata; Mammalia; Primates; Hominidae
Exons: 5
Source: RefSeq, a predicted model, not a curated record